This 634-nucleotide ribosomal RNA is filed under the name uncultured beta proteobacterium. Its description in RNAcentral is "bacterial SSU rRNA". It matches the Rfam family "Bacterial small subunit ribosomal RNA", at positions 545 to 1177 of the family's 1533-position model. The record is from RNAcentral. Lineage: Bacteria; Pseudomonadati; Pseudomonadota; Betaproteobacteria.
UCGGAAUUACUGGGCGUAAAGCGUGCGCAGGCGGUUUUUUAAGACAGAUGUGAAAUCCCCGGGCUUAACCUGGGAACUGCAUUUGUGACUGGAAGACUAGAGUAUGGCAGAGGGGGGUAGAAUUCCACGUGUAGCAGUGAAAUGCGUAGAUAUGUGGAGGAAUACCGAUGGCGAAGGCAGCCCCCUGGGUCAAUACUGACGCUCAUGCACGAAAGCGUGGGGAGCAAGCAGGAUUAGAUACCCUGGUAGUCCACGCCCUAAACGAUGUCAACUAGGUGUUGGGGAAGGAGACUUCUUUAGUACCGCAGCUAACGCGAUAAGUUGACCGCCUGGGGAGUACGGUCGCAAGAUUAAAACUCAAAGGAAUUGACGGGGACCCGCACAAGCGGUGGACUAUGUGGAUUAAUUCGAUGCAACGCGAAAAACCUUACCUACCCUUGACAUGUCCGAAAGAUCGCAGAGAUGUGAUUGUGCCCGAAAGGGAAUCCGAACACAGGUGCUGCAUGGCUGUCGUCAGCUCGUGUCGUGAGAUGUUGGGUUAAGUCCCGCAACGAGCGCAACCCUUGUCAUUAAUUGCCAUCAUUUGGUUGGGCCCUUUAAUGAGACUGCCGGUGAUAAACCGGAGGAAGGUGGG